UGGUUGGAUCAGGGUUUAAAUGAAAUGUACUCAUGUCCCACUUGUCGAAAGCCACUUUUUGUUGGCAGAACUGAAAAUGAAGCAAACCGUCACAGUGGAGACAUUUUAAGUGAUGAGCUGCUUGCUCGUCAAAUAAGUGAAGGGCUUGAUCAGCAAAACACUCCUACUCUACCUGGAGUAUUCCCAAAUCAGACUCGUAAUUCUAUAGAAGGCGGCCCAUGGAGAAGUGCAGGAUUGGAUUCAAGUCGGCUGCAUAGCAUACUUGGCCUGGCCAGGGUGUAGAUGGAGCUGGUCCCUCUACUGCUAUGAGAUCAGUGGGACUGGGGAGAGUUCAAAUGAUGAUGAGGCAUCUUGCAUCUGUAGGGGAAACCUAUGCUCAGAAUGCUCUUGAGGAUGCUGCUUGGAGCCUCUGGCCCAUGAAUCCCUCUGAAGCUGUUGCAUCUGGAUCUUCUGUCCCUCCUGCUACCGUUGGAAGAUCAGCUGGAGGUACUGGUGGUUUACACAUGAGGACUGCCGCACGCUCUGCAAGUGACAACAUAGUAAACUUGCUUGCCAUGGCUGAGACAGUGCGGGAGGUUCUGCCUCACAUUCCAGAUGAGUUGAUACUUCAGGACUUGCAGCGAACAAAUUCUGU
This 634-nucleotide unclassified non-coding RNA is filed under the name Hevea brasiliensis (rubber tree). The record is from RNAcentral. Lineage: Eukaryota; Viridiplantae; Streptophyta; Magnoliopsida; Malpighiales; Euphorbiaceae.